UACGUAGGGGACGAGCGUUGUCCGGAAUUACUUGGCGUAAAGGGCGCGCAGGCGGUAUAUCAAGUCAGCUGUCAAAGACUGGGGCUCAACCCUGGUAUGCGGUUGAAACUGAUAUGCUGGAGUGCUGUAGAGGCAAGUGGAAUUCCCAGUGUAGCGGUGAAAUGCGUAGAUAUUGGGAAGAACACCGGUGGCGAAGGCGACUUGCUGGGCAUCAACUGACGCUGAGGCGCGAAAGCCAGGGUAGCAAACGGGAUUAGAUA
This 260-nucleotide ribosomal RNA is filed under the name uncultured prokaryote. RNAcentral describes it as "partial 16S ribosomal RNA". It matches the Rfam family "Bacterial small subunit ribosomal RNA", at positions 524 to 784 of the family's 1533-position model. The record is from RNAcentral.